CGUGCUGGGUCUCUAGCCCUUGCCUGGUGUGGGUUUGGCGCCCUGCCCCCAACCCAGGGGGUGGAACUACCUCUCCCAGCAGCUUCCCUCUUCCCCUGGCAGAAUGGCGUGCGAGCUCUUCCUCCUCUCCUCCCUCUGGUUCCUCUUCCUCAUCUUCUGGAUGGAGACCAUCAGCCUCUGGCUCUUCCUGUGCAACUUCUACCAGGACCGAGCCUUCUACCACUGGGGGGAGCGCGCUGGGCCUGGCCGGCCGCCAACCUGCUCCCAGCACAGCGGCUGGGGAAGACGAGCACACAGCUGGUCCCCGGCUGGCUGGAGGACGUGAGUUCAGAGGUGGGGAUCCCAGGGUAGGAGGCACCUGCUGCCGCCCCCACCAGGCUCAGAACUCAGUCAGGCACCGUGUUGAACCCUGGCCGGUGAGGGACCCGUCUGUGCAGCUGGCAGAGCAAACGGAGCCAGGGCAUCAGGGGCUAGGACUUGCGGCCAGCUGCUGGAGCAUGGGAGGGGCACGUGGCCCGUCCCCACCCCACAUUCGGAGGGACGGAGGCAGCACUGGUGCUGCAGGCCAUGCAGGCCUCCAGUGAUUCCACCCCCUGGCCCGGGGAAAAUGUGGAGCUAGCUGCCGGGGGAGGCACAAAGCCGUUAACCAGCCCCUCUGUGGGGGUGCAGGCCACUGUGCUGGGUCCACACUGUUAGAGCAGCCUUGGGGCUGCUCUCAGUUCUGCUCUAGCUGAGGAGGGGACAUGGCCUUGCAGUGCAGCCUGGACACCUCCAUGAGCCUGGGGCUCCUGUGUAAAUAAACAGCUUCAGCAGCAGCCUGUUUCCA
Molecule: long non-coding RNA, 826 nt
Filed under: Chelonoidis abingdonii (Abingdon island giant tortoise)
Lineage: Eukaryota; Metazoa; Chordata; Testudines; Testudinidae
Description: lncRNA (ENSCABG00000022027.1)
Source: RNAcentral